AUGGCAGUCGUCAGCUCGUGUCGUGAGAUGUUGGGUUAAGUCCCGCAACGAGCGCAACCCUUGUCCUUAGUUGCCAGCACAUUAUGGUGGGAACUCUAGGGAGACUGCCGGUGACAAACCGGAGGAAAGUGGGGACGACGUCAAGUCAUCAUGGCCCUUAUAGGCAGGGCUACACACGUGCUACAAUGGGGAGUACAGAGGGCCGCCAACCAGCGAUGGUGAGCCAAUCCCUUAAAGCUUCUCGUAGUCCGGAUCGGAGUCUGCAACUCGACUCCGUGAAGUCGGAAUCGCUAGUAAUCGCGAAUCAGAAUGUCGCGGUGAAUACG
RNAcentral lists this ribosomal RNA (326 nucleotides) under uncultured bacterium. RNAcentral's name for it is "bacterial SSU rRNA". It matches the Rfam family "Bacterial small subunit ribosomal RNA", at positions 1045 to 1370 of the family's 1533-position model. The record is from RNAcentral.